RNAcentral lists this ribosomal RNA (465 nucleotides) under Vreelandella stevensii. RNAcentral describes it as "partial 16S ribosomal RNA". It matches the Rfam family "Bacterial small subunit ribosomal RNA", at positions 338 to 795 of the family's 1533-position model. The record is from RNAcentral. Lineage: Bacteria; Pseudomonadati; Pseudomonadota; Gammaproteobacteria; Oceanospirillales; Halomonadaceae.
CCUACGGUGGGCAGCAGUGGGGAAUAUUGGACAAUGGGCGAAAGCCUGAUCCAGCCAUGCCGCGUGUGUGAAGAAGGCCUUCGGGUUGUAAAGCACUUUCAGUGGGGAAGAAAGCCUUGGGGCUAAUACCCUCGAGGAAGGACAUCACCCACAGAAGAAGCACCGGCUAACUCCGUGCCAGCAGCCGCGGUAAUACGGAGGGUGCGAGCGUUAAUCGGAAUUACUGGGCGUAAAGCGCGCGUAGGCGGUCUGAUAAGCCGGUUGUGAAAGCCCCGGGCUCAACCUGGGAACGGCAUCCGGAACUGUCAGGCUAGAGUGCAGGAGAGGAAGGUAGAAGUCCCGGUGUAGCGGUGAAAUGCGUAGAGAUCGGGAGAAAUACCAGUGGCGAAGGCGGCCUUCUGGACUGACACUGACGCUGAGGUGCGAAAGCGUGGGUAGCAAACAGGAGUAGAUACCCGAGUAGUC